CGGGACGUAGCUCAGCUUGGCUGGAGCGCUUGCCUUGGGAGCAAGAGGUCGCAGGUUCGAGUCCUGCCGUUCCGACCA
This 78-nucleotide transfer RNA is filed under the name Paenibacillaceae bacterium. RNAcentral's name for it is "tRNA-Pro". It matches the Rfam family "tRNA". Rfam says of the family: Transfer RNA (tRNA) molecules are approximately 80 nucleotides in length. Their secondary structure includes four short double-helical elements and three loops (D, anti-codon, and T loops). Lineage: Bacteria; Bacillati; Bacillota; Bacilli; Caryophanales; Paenibacillaceae. The record is from RNAcentral.